GACGAACGCUGGCGGCGUGCUUAACACAUGCAAGUCGAACGCUGAAGCUUGGUGCUUGCACUGGGUGGAUGAGUGGCGAACGGGUGAGUAAUAAGUGAGUAACCUGCCCUUGACUCUGGGAUAAGCCUGGGAAACUGGGUCUAAUACUGGAUACGACAUGUCACCGCAUGGUGGUGUGUGGAAAGGGUUUUACUGGUUUUGGAUGGGCUCACGGCCUAUCAGCUUGUUGGUGGGGUAAUGGCUCACCAAGGCGACGACGGGUAGCCGGCCUGAGAGGGUGACCGGCCACACUGGGACUGAGAAAAGGCCCAGACUCCUACGGGAGGCAGCAGUGGGGAAUAUUGCACAAUGGGCGGAAGCCUGAUGCAGCGACGCCGCGUGAGGGAUGACGGCCUUCGGGUUGUAAACCUCUUUCAGCACGGAAGAAGCGAAAGUGACGGUACGUGCAGAAGAAGCGCCGGCUAACUACGUG
Molecule: ribosomal RNA, 472 nt
Filed under: uncultured bacterium
Lineage: Bacteria
Description: partial 16S ribosomal RNA
Rfam family: Bacterial small subunit ribosomal RNA
Source: RNAcentral